AUUUUCGAUUACCGAACGGGUAACCAAACUCCGAUCGGUGAGUGAAACCUUGGUCCCCACUAGGCCACCGCCGUCGACGAAGACCUAGCUCCGGUGCCAUGGCCGCCGCCCACGCGGGCCGCCGCCGCGAGGCGCACCUCCUCCUGACCUGGUCGUCUCUGGCCACUAUCUGGACACGGGGCCGCCACGGGCUGAAGCGGCACCGCCGGAAGCACGAGAUCCACUCGCCCGAUCAAGAUGGUAGGGGGGGUGGUGGUGGUGAUGGAGAACCGCAGCUUCGACCACAUCCUCGGCUGGAUCCGCCGCACCCGCCCCGACAUCGAUGGCCUCACCGGCAAGGAGUCCAAUCACCUCAAGACCUCCGACCCAUCAUCCCCGGAGAUAUUCGUCACCGACGAUCCGGAUCCAUGUUUGUGCACUUGGGGCACAGAUCAGGCACCUUGUCUGAAUUAGUAAUUUUUUCUGUGAUUUGUGAGUACUUGUGUUCUUCCACAAACUGAUAAAUUUCGUGUUUCCGAAUUCCUCCGGCCAUCUUUCCCGGCAUUCUUGGUGCUAGGGAGAUGCGCGGUACAGGCGCCAUAACACAGUGUCGACGUCGCCGCCCUAGUCGAUGCAGGACGCCGCCUCGAUCCGAACACGCUCCGCCUCCAUCCCCGCCUCGAUCCGCCUAUUCCCCACCCGCCGGACGCCGCCUCGAUCCGAACACGCUCCGCCUCCACCCCCGCCUCGAUCCGCCUAUUCCGCACCCGCCGGGCGCCGCCUCGAUCCGAUCUUCAGGAUGCUGCCUCGAUCCGAACACGGCCCGCCUUGAUCUCCGGCUCGGUGUAGCACCAAGCGGCGAGCACCUUGUGCGAGGCGCGCAUCACGGAGAUUGAUAUUACGCACAAUGUUGGACAUCUUCUAUCAACAAUGAUGAGAAGAAGCUACCCGAUGGCAGCGAAGUGCAAGCUGGCUUGGAGUUGCUGUACCGUGGGGCUCGGAUUUCGCUUGGCUGCUCAAUCGGAUGGCCCGGUUAAUCGUGACAAAGCCAGUGCACAAGUAGGGGCUCAGGUUGGUGAAGUUGUGGCGAGCAGUCUGAAGGGUGGACUGCUCAAAGUAGUCGGAUGGAUGAAUGAGGGCACCAGCAAAACCCUGGGUGGGGCACAAAAGGCGCCGGGGUAGGCUGCCAGCGAUGAUCAGAGACAGACGCUGCAGCGGCCCAUCGACUAUGCAGGUCAACUAAAAGGACAAAAAUACUCCUGCUCAUCUCAGACUGAGCCAAAUCGACUCCAGAUCGACACUCUGGCCCGUGUUCAUCCUCUCCGCCCCGCCUCCCCCCGCCUCUCCCUGGCACCCCGCCUUUCCCCGCCCCUCCCUGGCGGCCUGGCGGUCCUCCCAGGGUCAGCUGCUGCUGCUACAAGUACUAGGAUGAUUUCAUCGGCGCAACAUGGCUGCUACAAGUGGUGGGAGGUGAAGUAUGGCCAGUUCUUCAACCUUGUUCCUACCUGUCCGAGAGGGCAGCAGCAGGAGUUCCUCUGAGUGCACCGGCGGACCAGGCCAAGGCUCGGCUUUGAGUUAUAUCAUGGUAGCAUCUUGUGUUCCAGGCUGAGAGAGCAACAUUCUUCACUCGUCUUCUCUUUAUCUACCAAACGAGAGCUACUAUGAGAAUCAACCCCAAAUAUGAAUAAUCCAAUGUCAACCUGCACUUACAAUACAAAUCCAGUUGCAAAGAAAGACUCGCCCUAUCAAAGUUCAGGAUGUUUCUUCUUCUGCUGCACUUUUUUAGGGGUGGGACCAGGGAUAUGCGAGCUAACAAACCGCAACAAGGCACAAACAAUUGGGUACAAUCGCAUCAUGCUUGAUUAUCGCAUUUGGUCUAUUCCAGCACUUACGAGCUUGUGAAUCUUCUGCAUAGCUUCUGGGUUCUUCAGGUGAUCCUGAGCAGCCCUGGGGUUGGAUUGCUAAGGCUUUCAACUCGAUCCGCUGGGAAUACCUUCUUACCCUACUUUGAGAGGCCAGCGCCCAGAGUUGCAUAUCUCUAUAUAGGCUGAUGACGCAGUGGCUUUUGUGUCUCCAACGACGAAGGAUGUCUCGGUUCUCGCUGCGAUCCUUAAUUCCUUUGGGGAAGCAACCAGCCUCAAAACCAACUUCGCCAAAACAUUGGCCACCAAGAUAAGAUGCUUCGAGAUUAAAAUGGACGAGAUCCUAGCUGACCUCCUCGUUGCCCAUGUCGACUUCCCCAUCACUUACCUUGGCCUCCUGCUCUCCACAAAGCGCCUAAAAAAUCCGAUCUUCAACCUUUGGUGGGCAGAACUACAACCAAAAUGGCCACAUGGCAGGGCAAACUGGCCGUUUAACCCUGGUCAAAUUGGUGCCCUUCUCAUAGCCUGUCUACUUCCUCGCGGGUAUUAGGGCACCCAAAUGAACUCUAAAGGAAAUCGAUUUGGCUAGGCAUCAGUUUCUCUGGUCCGGCUGUCAGCGGCUAACCAGGGGUAGUUGCAAAGUCAACUGGGAUCGCGUCAGUAGGCUGAAAAGCAAGGGCGGCCUAGGCGUUCUGCACCUACAAGCUUUUGGCAGAGCGCCAAGGCAGCGAUGGUUGUGGCAUGAGUGGAAAUCGCCACAAAAGCUAUAGUUGGGUCCGAGAUUCCUUGUGACAAUUUUGGCAGGCUUAUUUUUGCGACGUCUACUGAGAUUAUGAUUGGGGAUGGUAACUCCAUCUCAUUUUGGCACUCUUUCUGGGCUGGCGGUCGUAGGCCUAUUGAUUUUGCCCCACCCCCUCAUCUACAAGGCGUGCAGGGCAAAGCGACGGAACCUGCGUGAGGUCUUCGGAGAUAACUCCUAGCUCCAUGACAUUGACUUUCGUCAAAUGACAUCGCACCAACACAUUCACCAGGUUGUUCUCCUAUGGCAGGCUACGCAUGGUGUGUCUUUACACCCUCAGUCUCCCGAUGACAUCUUAUGGAAGAUGGAUGCGCGGCAGGUGUACUCCACGUCUUUGGCCUGCAAGAUGCGAUUUUGGCGAUCCACGGACACCAACUUUGCCAUCAUCUUCUGCCAGAUUGAACACAC
Phragmites australis (common reed) is the source of this 3048-nucleotide RNA transcript. RefSeq lists it as uncharacterized. NCBI's taxonomy places the organism in Eukaryota, Viridiplantae, Streptophyta, Magnoliopsida, Poales, Poaceae. The record is from RefSeq and is a predicted model, not a curated record. The transcript has 6 exons.